UCUACAAGUACCGCCGGACUCUGCUGCGUCACAAGCGGUACGAGUGUCAGCAGCUAGAGGGCCAGUUCGCCUGUCAGUUCUGCUCCUAACAGACCAAGUGGAAGUCCAACCUCAGCAGCCACGUACUGUUCAGACACUCGGACAUGCUCGCCAUCUCUAAACCUAAAGUCGCCCAGGUUCUCCAUCAAUAGUCGCGAUGUACUACUCUACAAGUACCGCCGGACUCUGCUGCGUCACAAGCGGUACGAGUGUCAGCAGCUAGAGGGCCAGUUCGCCUGUCAGUUCUGCUCCUAACAGACCAAGUGGAAGUCCAACCUCAGCAGCCACGUACUGUUCAGACACUCGGACAUGCUCGCCAUCUCUAAACCUAAAGUCGCCCAGGUUCUCCAUCAAUAGUCGCGAUGUACUACUCUACAAGUACCGCCGGACUCUGCUGCGUCACAAGCGGUACGAGUGUCAGCAGCUAGAGGGCCAGUUCGCCUGUCAGUUCUGCUCCUACCAGACCAAGUGGAAGUUCAACCUCAGCAGCUAAAUACUGUUCAGACACUCGGACAUGCUCGCCGACUAACUCAGAACGACCUAACUUUAAUAUAACCCAGUAUUUCGCUUUCCUCUAUAGAAUAUACAGAUCUCAAUUUGUUUACUUUUAGUAUUAAGUGAUUGUGUUCAAUCUUUUGUCAAAUUGCUCGUUUAAAUGUUUACUGAAUUUUAGUUUGCUCUAUUCAUGUGAUAUUUCAUUUUAAUUUUUGUCAAUUUUGAUACUUGAACUUAAAUUGUACUUAACUUAUGUGAUUUGUAAAACAAUCUUUUUCAACCCACAAUUACAAGAAACCAUCCAAAACUUACAAUGUUAGUAAUAAUUUACUAAAACUACUGAUUUUCAAACACAAAAAUGGCGGUUUAAGUUAUUACAGUUGUUUGGUCGUAUCCUAAAUUGUAUUAUAAUGCUUUAUAAAAAAAUAGACUCCUACCAUUCAGUGAAUUGCUUAUUACCUAUUACUUUAUGACAAUUGCUAUUCCGCAGGACAUACUGUGAUUCUAUAGUUCAUAAAAUUGUUACAUUCAAAGUAUAAUUAUUAUUCUAUGGUUGUCAAUGUAGAUAAUCUUAUAAAAUAUUAUAUAAGACUUGAUAGUUAUGACAUAUUUAAAAUAGUUUUGUAUAUAUUGUAUAUCCAAUAAAUGAAUAAUGCAUUAAUUCAUCAUUGCUUCAACAGUUUCCCGUAUUUGUCCGUUUUGAGACUGCUGUUAGUAUAUCGAAUAUAAGAACUACAUUACAUAGUUCCUACGGAGAAGCUUGAGACUGCUGUUAGUAUCCAUUAUGAGGAUUACAUUACAUAGUAUGGGAAAGUUUGAGACUGCUAUUAGUAUCCAUUAUGAGGAUUACAUUACAUAGUAUGGGAAAGUUUGACUGCUAUUAGUAUCCAUUAUGAGGAUUACAUUACAUAGUUUGGGAACGGUUGAGACUGCUAUUAGUAUCCAUUAUGAGGAUUACAUUACAUAGUAUGGGAAAGUUUGAGACUGCUAUUAGUAUCCAUUAUGAGGAUUACAUUACAUAGUAUGGGAAAGUUUGAGACUGCUAUUAGUAUCCAUUAUGAGGAUUACAUUACAUAGUAUGGGAAAGUUUGAGACUGCUAUUAGUAUCCAUUAUGAGGAUUACAUUACAUAGUAUGGGAAAGUUUGAGACUGCUAUUAGUAUCCAUUAUGAGGAUUACAUUACAUAGUAUGGGAAAGUUUGAGACUGCUAUUAGUAUCCAUUAUGAGGAUUACAUUACAUAGUUUGGGAACGGUUGAGACUGCUAUUAGUAUCCAUUAUGAGGAUUACAUUACAUAGUUUGGGAACGGUUGAGACUGCUAUUAGUAUCCAUUAUGAGGAUUACAUUACAUAGUAUGGGAACGGUUGAGACUGCUAUUAGUAUCCAUUAUGAGGAUUACAUUACAUAGUUAUGGGAAAGUUUGAGACUGCUAUUAGUAUCCAUUAUGAGGAUUACAUUACAUAGUAUGGGAAAGUUUGAGACUGCUAUUAGUAUCCAUUAUGAGGAUUACAUUACAUAGUAUGGGAAAGUUUGAGAAAAGUUAAUGUUUGUGUUAUAAACAAAUUGACUCCCAGUACCAUAAGCGGUAACUAUAUUUAUUUGAGUUGAGCAUUUUUUUCGAAACGUGACAGGUACAAUCUUAUAAAUUUAAGCAAAAAAGUUUAGAUGUGAAGAAACAAUUUUUAGUAUCAAUUAGUUUGUGUUUCAUAUUUUAAAGUCACCGAUAGAUGAUUAAUUAAAUAAAUUUUGGAUAAUGCGAUAAAAAUAGUGCAAAUUUUACGUCUUAAAACAUUAAAAGUAAAAAGUGAUAUUAGAGCUUUUGAUUAAUGCAUGACUCGUUUCUGCUCACAUGAUCGUAAAUUAUAUAUAUUCAUUAAUUAUAUAAUACCAGCCCUUGGACCCCAGAGAAGAUUUUGUUAUGAAGUAUAUCCUAUGCUUCGUCUUUCCAUGUCGUUAGAUAGAACUCAGAGGGUUAACGACUUAUUAAAUUAUAUUUUUGAACUGAUCACCAAUUUUAUCGGAACAUGUUUUGUUUCUUGACACUUUUCCCGUCCAAUCGAGAUCUCUGACAAUGUCUCACAGUGGUGUUGGUUAUUUUCAGGAGACAAUUACAAGUUGGCCCUAGGGGACGAUGGCAAGACGAGAUUCGUGUGUUUGGACUGCGGAAGGUCGUAUUGCCGAAAACCCAAUCUGACCAAACACCAGCGCUACGAGUGCAAAACUCCGCCUCGAUUCCACUGUCCCGUGUGUCCGUACCGUGCCAGGCAGAAGACUUCACUCAAAACUCACGUAUCUUUCAAACACAAGGAAUACUGGAACACCAGCCACCUUCAGUUGAACACCCAACCAUAAAGUUUACAUAUCUGAUUUACGGUGAGACGUACAAAGUUAUCGAAGGAGACGAGGGCAAGCCCAGGUUCGUCUGUCUGGCGUGCAAUCGCUCCUACUCCCGUAAGCCUAACCUGACUCACCACCAGCGUCACGAGUGCGGCAAGGAUCCUCACUUCCUCUGUCCCGUCUGUCCGUACGGGGCCAAGCGCAGGAACACCCUGUACACUCACAUCAGCUUCCGACACAGGGAGUACUGGCAGGAGAACUACCAGACUCUCAACGCACUCAAACACAAGAGGCUGUUGGUCUGACGGACUUUUCCUCUUGUGUCGUAUGUUGUAUUAUCGGGUUUCUGGAGACUCUUGUGUCUUUGACUACAAUAUUGUACGCAUUCGCAGAACCUCCUAACAAACUAUGAUCGUAGAUUUAUUGUAUUAUAUAACUGAACAUAUACGUACAAGACAUUAAAUGUUUAUAUAAUUAAUAAAUUAUAAGGCAAAUUAAAUGUAGCAGCCUGUUAAAGUAUAUUUUGGAAUAAACGUAGUUAUAUUGA
Homalodisca vitripennis (glassy-winged sharpshooter) is the source of this 3417-nucleotide long non-coding RNA. RefSeq lists it as uncharacterized. The record is from RefSeq and is a predicted model, not a curated record. The transcript is spliced from 2 exons. NCBI's taxonomy places the organism in Eukaryota, Metazoa, Arthropoda, Insecta, Hemiptera, Cicadellidae.